This 77-nucleotide transfer RNA is filed under the name Vibrio cholerae. RNAcentral's name for it is "tRNA-Asn". It matches the Rfam family "tRNA". Rfam says of the family: Transfer RNA (tRNA) molecules are approximately 80 nucleotides in length. Lineage: Bacteria; Pseudomonadati; Pseudomonadota; Gammaproteobacteria; Vibrionales; Vibrionaceae. RNAcentral also lists the same sequence under 10 other names. The record is from RNAcentral.
GGGUGAUUAGCUCAUCUGGUUAGAGCAGUUGGCUGUUAACCAACAGGUGCCAGGUUCGACUCCUGGAUCACCCGCCA